This 405-nucleotide ribosomal RNA is filed under the name uncultured prokaryote. Its description in RNAcentral is "bacterial SSU rRNA". It matches the Rfam family "Bacterial small subunit ribosomal RNA", at positions 355 to 774 of the family's 1533-position model. The record is from RNAcentral.
UGGGGAAUAUUGGGCAAUGGGCGAAAGCCUGACCCAGCAACGCCGCGUGAGGGAAGAAGGUUUUCGGAUUGUAAACCUCUGUCGCAGGAGACGAAAGAAAUGACGGUAUUCUGUGAGGAAGCCCCGGCUAACUACGUGCCAGCAGCCGCGGUAAUACGUAGGGGGCGAGCGUUGUCCGGAAUUACUGGGCGUAAAGGGUGCGUAGGCGGCGCGAUAAGUUGGAUGUGAAAAGCCCGUGCUUAACAUGGGAGGUGCAUCCAAGACUGUCGUGCUAGAGUACAGGAGAGGGAAGCGGAAUUCCUAGUGUAGCGGUGAAAUGCGUAGAUAUUAGGAGGAACACCGGUGGCGAAGGCGGCUUUCUGGACUGACACUGACGCUGAGGCACGAAAGCGUGGGGAGCAAACA